UUUCCGUAGGUGAACCUGCGGAAGGAUCAUUAAAAAAUGUGGUACCGAUUGUUGGCACUAAAUUAAUCAUCCUACCCUUUGUGAAUUUGUUUGUAACGAAUUUUUUUAAAUGGGUCUUUCCCUAAGUUGGAUUGUAGUAAAUACAAAAAAGACUUAGGGGAAUGACUUUUUAAAAGACUUUUUUUUAAAUUAAAACUUUUUGUAUUCAUUUGUCUAAAAUUUAUUUUUAUAAUAUAAAAACAACUUUUGACAAUGGACUCUUGGUUCUCGCAACGAUGAAGAACGCAGCAAAAUGCGAUAAGUAGUGUGAAUUGCAGAAUACGUGAAUCAUCGAAUCUUCGAACGCAUAUUGCACUUUUUAGUUUACUAAAAAGUAUGUCUGUUUGAGUAUCAGUAAAUAUUCUCACAAACAUAUAUUGUUUGUGGUUAUGAGUGUUUUACAACGAUAAACAAGUUGUUUCACUUUAAAUUCUUUUUAAUUGAUUUUUACCAAUUCAUAAAUUAAAUGGAUAAAAUUUUCCUUUAACCGAGAAUAACCUAAACAAUUUUAAAUUUUAUGGAUUAUAAACAUUCAUAAAGGAAUCUAUACAUAAAUAACUUGACCUCAAAUCAGAUAAGAGUACCGCUGAACUUAAGCAUAUCAAUAAGCGGAGGAAAAGAAACUAACAAGGAUUCCCUUAGUAACGGCGAGUGAAGCGGGAAGAGCUCAAAUUUGAAAUCUUCAAGGUUUGACCUUGACGAAUUGUAGUUUAUAGAAGUGUUUUCUGUUGGAGUUUUGGUAAAAGUUCUUUGGAAUAGGACAUCAUAGAGGGUGAGAAUCCCGUAUUUGACCAUGACUUUCCAGCUGUGUGAUACACUUUCAAAGAGUCGGAUUGUUUGGGAAUGCAGUCCAAAAUGGGUGGUAAAUUUCAUCUAAAGCUAAAUAUUGGCGAGAGACCGAUAGCGAACAAGUACCGUGAGGAAAGAUGAAAAGAACUUUGAAAAGAGAGUUAAACAGUACGUGAAAUUGUCAAAAGGGAAGCGUUUGACACCAGUGUUGUUUUCUCGAAAAUCAAUUUAAUGAGUUCUUGUUUUUAAGUUAUUGUGACUUUAUCAGCGCAUUUCUUAUUUUACUUGACUCAUUGAAUGCACUUUUCGUUUAACAAGUCAACAUCAAUUUCUUUGGUGGUAAAAAGUUUAAAGGAAGGUGCUUGGACUUCGGUUCAAGUGUUUAUAGCCUUUUUUCUAUGCCAUCGGAGAGAUUGAGGUCUGCAGCGUAGAUCCUUCGGGGUUAGAUACCUUUGUGCUAAGUUAUAGUUUUUUAUAGACAACUUGUUGACUAUAAUAACCCUGUAAUUUACUCGCUUAGGCUAUU
This 1354-nucleotide unclassified non-coding RNA is filed under the name uncultured Neocallimastigales. Its description in RNAcentral is "partial contains small subunit ribosomal RNA, internal transcribed spacer 1, 5.8S ribosomal RNA, internal transcribed spacer 2, and large subunit ribosomal RNA". The stretch from base 600 to 1354 matches the Rfam family "Eukaryotic large subunit ribosomal RNA", at positions 1 to 616 of the family's 3401-position model. The record is from RNAcentral. Lineage: Eukaryota; Fungi; Neocallimastigomycota; Neocallimastigomycetes; Neocallimastigales.